Molecule: ribosomal RNA, 500 nt
Filed under: uncultured bacterium
Lineage: Bacteria
Description: partial 16S ribosomal RNA
Rfam family: Bacterial small subunit ribosomal RNA
Source: RNAcentral
AUUGAACGCUGGCGGCAUGCUUUACACAUGCAAGUCGAACGGCAGCACGGACUUCGGUCUGGUGGCGAGUGGCGAACGGGUGAGUAAUACAUCGGAACGUGCCCAGUUGUGGGGGAUAACUACUCGAAAGAGUAGCUAAUACCGCAUGAGAACUGAGGUUGAAAGCAGGGGAUCGUAAGACCUUGCGCAACUGGAGCGGCCGAUGGCAGAUUAGGUAGUUGGUGGGAUAAAAGCUUACAAAGCCGACGAUCUGUAGCUGGUCUGAGAGGACGACCGGCCACACUGGGACUGAGACACGGCCCGGACUCCUACGGGAGGCAGCAGUGGGGAAUUUUGGACAAUGGGCGAAAGCCUGAUCCAGCAAUGCCGCGUGCAGGAUGAAGGCCUUCGGGUUGUAAACUGCUUUUGUACGGAACGAAAAGCUUCGGGUUAAUACCCUGGAGUCAUGACGGUACCGUAAGAAUAAGCACCGGCUAACUACGUGCCAGCCGCCGCCGUAA